CGUUCUAUGGCCAAAUUGGUAAACCCAUCGCCGACCACAGGCGAGGAUGUGGGUUCGAGUCCCGCUGGAACGG
Transfer RNA from Operophtera brumata (winter moth), 73 nucleotides. It matches the Rfam family "tRNA". From Rfam's summary of the family: Transfer RNA (tRNA) molecules are approximately 80 nucleotides in length. Their secondary structure includes four short double-helical elements and three loops (D, anti-codon, and T loops). Further hydrogen bonds mediate the characteristic L-shaped molecular structure. tRNAs have two regions of fundamental functional importance: the anti-codon, which is responsible for specific mRNA codon recognition, and the 3' end, to which the tRNAs corresponding amino acid is attached (by aminoacyl-tRNA synthetases). tRNAs cope with the degeneracy of the genetic code in two manners: having more than one tRNA (with a specific anti-codon) for a particular amino acid; and 'wobble' base-pairing, i.e. permitting non-standard base-pairing at the 3rd anti-codon position. Lineage: Eukaryota; Metazoa; Arthropoda; Insecta; Lepidoptera; Geometridae. The record is from Rfam.